GACGAACGCUGGCGGCGUGCUUAACACAUGCAAGUCGAACGGAAAGGCCCUGCUUUUGUGGGGUGCCCGAGUGGCGAACGGGUGAGUAACACGUGAGUAACCUGCCCUUGACUUUGGGAUAACUUCAGGAAACUGGGGCUAAUAUCGUAUCGCAGCUCCUGCUGCAUGGUGGGGGUUGGAAAGUUUCGGCGGUUGGGGAUGGACUCGCGGCUUAUCAGCUUGCUGGUGGGGUAGUGGCUUACCAAGGGUUUGACGGGUAGCCGGCCUGAGAGGGUGACCGGCCACAUGAGUCCUGCGAUACGCCCCAGACUGCAACGGGAGGCAGCGGUCGGGAAUCUUGCCCAAUGGGCGGGAGCCUGAGGCAGAGACGCCGCGUGCGGGAUGACGGCCUUCGGGUUAUGAACCGCUUUCGCCUGAGACGAAGCGUUAGUGACGGUAAUGGGUAAAGAAGCACCGGCUAACUACGUG
Molecule: ribosomal RNA, 468 nt
Filed under: uncultured bacterium
Lineage: Bacteria
Description: partial 16S ribosomal RNA
Rfam family: Bacterial small subunit ribosomal RNA
Source: RNAcentral